This 253-nucleotide ribosomal RNA is filed under the name uncultured bacterium. Its description in RNAcentral is "partial 16S ribosomal RNA". It matches the Rfam family "Bacterial small subunit ribosomal RNA", at positions 524 to 776 of the family's 1533-position model. The record is from RNAcentral.
GACGAACCGUGCGAACGUUGUUCGGAUUCACUGGGCUUAAAGGGCGCGUAGGCGGGCGUGCGAGUCAGGGGUGAAAGCCCCCGGCCCAACCGGGGAAGGGCCUCUGAUACCGCACGGCUGGAGGGAGGUAGGGGCAGCUGGAACUUCCGGUGGAACGGUGAAAUGCGUAGAUAUCGGAAGGAACGCCGGUGGCGAAAGCGGGCUGCUGGACCUUUCCUGACGCUGAGGCGCGAAAGCCAGGGGAGCGAACGGG